GAUGAACGCUGGCGGCGUGCCUAAUACAUGCAAGUCGAGCGAACGGACGAGAAGCUUGCUUCUCUGAUGUUAGCGGCGGACGGGUGAGUAACACGUGGAUAACCUACCUAUAAGACUGGGAUAACUUCGGGAAACCGGAGCUAAUACCGGAUAGUAUUUUGAACCGCAUGGUUCAAAAGUGAAAGACGGUCCUGCUGUCACUUAUAGAUGGAUCCGCGCUGCAUUAGCUAGUUGGUAAGGUAACGGCUUACCAAGGCAACGAUGCAUAGCCGACCUGAGAGGGUGAUCGGCCACACUGGAACUGAGACACGGUCCAGACUCCUACGGGAGGCAGCAGUAGGGAAUCUUCCGCAAUGGGCGAAAGCCUGACGGAGCAACGCCGCGUGAGUGAUGAAGGUCUUCGGAUCGUAAAACUCUGUUAUUAGGGAAGAACAUAUGUGUAAGUAACUGUGCACAUCUUGACGGUACCUAAUCAGAAAGCCACGGCUAACUACGUG
RNAcentral lists this ribosomal RNA (497 nucleotides) under uncultured bacterium. RNAcentral describes it as "partial 16S ribosomal RNA". It matches the Rfam family "Bacterial small subunit ribosomal RNA", at positions 28 to 507 of the family's 1533-position model. The record is from RNAcentral.